RNAcentral lists this unclassified non-coding RNA (203 nucleotides) under uncultured fungus. RNAcentral describes it as "sequence contains ITS1". The record is from RNAcentral. Lineage: Eukaryota; Fungi.
GUAUUGUUUUAUUGGCCGAAGCCUAAUACAUUCAUUGACUUCAAUAAUAAAGGGUAUAUGAAAAACAUAGACUCGGAAAUUAAUCCUAGUCUACAUUCAAAGUGCACAGGUGGAUAUGAAGGCGGGAGUGCACGGUCUAAUGAAAGACCAGCAACAUCCCUUUGGAUUCAAUAAUGAUCCUUCCGCAGGUUCACCUACGGAAA